UACUGCUUCUUGGGGACUCCUUACAUUG
Molecule: non-coding RNA, 28 nt
Filed under: Mus musculus (house mouse)
Lineage: Eukaryota; Metazoa; Chordata; Mammalia; Rodentia; Muridae
Source: RNAcentral